This 500-nucleotide ribosomal RNA is filed under the name uncultured bacterium. Its description in RNAcentral is "partial 16S ribosomal RNA". It matches the Rfam family "Bacterial small subunit ribosomal RNA", at positions 30 to 523 of the family's 1533-position model. The record is from RNAcentral.
AUUGAACGCUGGCGGCAUGCCUUACACAUGCAAGUCGAACGGCAGCGGGGACUUCGGUCCGCCGGCGAGUGGCGAACGGGUGAGUAAUGUAUCGGAACGUACCUUUCAGUGGGGGAUAACGUAGCGAAAGUUACGCUAAUACCGCAUAUUCUCUGAGGAGGAAAGCAGGGGACCUUCGGGCAUUGCGCUGCUAGAGCGGCUGAUAUCAGAUUAGCUAGUUGGUGGGGUAAAGGCUCACCAAGGCUACGAUCUUUAGCGGGUCUGAGAGGAUGAUCCGCCACACUGGAACUGAGACACGGCCCAGACUCCUACGGGAGGCAGCAGUGGGGAAUUUUGGACAAUGGGGGCAACCCUGAUCCAGCCAUGCCGCGUGAGUGAAGAAGGCCUUCGGGUUGUAAAGCUCUUUCGGCCGGGAAGAAAUCGUGUGGGCUAAUACCCUGCAUGGAUGACGGUACCGGAAUAAGAAGCACCGGCUAACUACGUGCCAGCAGCCGCGGUAA